Molecule: long non-coding RNA, 5288 nt
Organism: Oreochromis niloticus (Nile tilapia)
Lineage: Eukaryota; Metazoa; Chordata; Actinopteri; Cichliformes; Cichlidae
Product: transient receptor potential cation channel subfamily M member 4
Exons: 28
Source: RefSeq, a predicted model, not a curated record
GACGGCAGUGGAAGGGAAUAGGGUUUCAAUAGUAGGACAAUGGCUAGAAAGAACUCCUUUUAGUUCUUCUGCACAUAUUUCUUAUUGAGCAAGACAAGGAAACAUGAAAAACACAGGCCCAGUAGAAGAAGGAGGAAGAGGAGAAGGUGGAGGAGGCGACAACGCAGACAAUAUCUGCCAAAAUGAGAAGAGCCAGAGUUGGAUCCCCAAAAUCAUCAAGAAAAGAGUGUGCAGCACCUUUGUAGAAGAUUCUGUCAGUAAUGGUGCAUUGUGUCAGUGUGGGGCUGUGAGAGAUGACCAUGCCUCUGCAGCUCUUGGAGACUAUUUCAGCACAGCGAUUGUGAACCACUGGGAAAGCGUGCAGCACUCCUCUGAACAACCAACUGAUGCCUUUGGAGAGGUGCAGUUUGCAGGAGCCAGCAAGAGGCACAGCCAUUUUCUGCGCCUGUCAUGGAGCACUGAGCCUUCUUUGGUGUACAACAUAUUGACAACCAUUUGGGGUCUUCCUACACCCAACCUGGUUGUUUCUGUUGUGGGUGGAAAUAGCAGAACACAGAUAAAGACCUGGGUACGGGAGAUCCUCAGACAGGGACUGGUGAAAGCGUCACAAAGCACAGGUGCAUGGAUAUUAACUACAGGUCUGCGCGAAAGGCUUGGUCAGUGUGUUGGACAGGCAGUGAGAGAUCAUGCAGCUGCGGCAUCUUCUGUCUCUCUCAACAAGGUGGUAGCACUGGGCAUCGCCCCGUGGGGUGUAGUGGAAAAACGAGAGCAGCUGGUCAACCCUCAGGGGAGCUUUCCUGCAAGGUACUAUGUCCAAAACAUAUCUCAGGAGUCCUGCUACCUGGACAACAACUACCAGGCCUUCCUGCUGGUGGAUGAUGGGAGUGUGGGCCGCAAAGGAGGAGAGAUAGGUUUCAGAGCCAGACUGGAGGAAUACAUUUCCCACCAGCGCACAGGCAUAUGGGGAAGUGGCAGCAUCGACAUCCCUGUUGUUUGUAUGCUGAUAUCAGGGGGAACAGACAUGCUGAAGAGAAUGGAUCUCUCUUUGAAAAACUCCAUCCCCUGGCUGGUGCUGGCUGGCUCAGGAGGCUUGGCUGACUUCCUGAGUGAUGUCUUGGAGAACCUGUCUCCAGCACCAGCUGUGCAGUCUUCUGGCGAAGGGGACAGUGAGGCGGGUCCCAGCGUGGAUCUUAAAGACAGAGUGGCAGAACGGUUUAAGAAGCACUUUCCUUCGGAGGCAAAGACUGAAAAGCUAGUUGAAUGGGCUUUUAGCAUUUACCAGAAUAGAGGUUUGAUUACAGUCUACCAUGGAGAACAAGAGAGUCCAAAUGACUUUGACACUGUCCUGCUUAAAACACUUGUGGGAGCAAGUAAGCAGCGUGCAUCAGUUGAUGCCAGCCCUUAUAGUGAUGAGCUAAAGUUAGCAGUCACAUGGAACAGGGUUGACAUUGCCAAGAGUGAACUUUUCAAUGGUGACAUCCAGUGGAAGUAUAAAGAUUUGGAAGACUCAAUGACAGAUGCCCUGAUCAAUGACAAGCCCCAGUUUGUUCGGCUUUUCACUGAGAAUGGUUUGAACAUCAUGCAGUACCUCACUUAUGGCAGGCUGGAAACCCUCUAUCGCUCUGUGCCAGAUGGGACCGUGCUCUAUCAGCUACUACAGCACUGCCUAGAGGAACGGCUGGGAAAUAUGGCAUCUGCACAACCAUCAUCAGAACAACAGAGUUCAUCCUCAAAAGUGGCGGCAGAUAAGACUCAGAGAAGACCAAGUAGAGAGUUUACCCUUUAUGAGGUGUCAAAGGUCCUGAAAUUGUUAAUGGGUGAUGUCUGCCAGCCUUUCUACUAUAAAGCUUUGAGCUUAGAGUUGACUUCAUUCAACAGGACAGCUAUGAAGCGUGCCAGUACGAUUCUGCGUGGAUAUUCUGUGUAUCAGCAGCAGCGCUGCCCUCAUCCCUGGGCUUCACUCUUCCUCUGGGCUGUACUGCAGAACCGCAGUGAGAUGGCCCUUUUCUUCUGGGAGAUGGCAGGUGAGGCAGUCCUGAGUGCUCUUGGUGGCUGUAAGAUACUCAGAGAACUGUCCAAACGGGAGGAUGAAACUGAAACCAAACUCUCCAUGAAAGAACUGGCCCAGAAGUUUGAGAACCUGGCUCAUGAUAUUUUCAGCUCUUGCUAUCGCAGUGAUGAAAACCGCUCUUUCAGCCUGCUGAUUAGAAAGUCUCCUGUCUGGGGUCACAGCACCUGUCUUCAGAUGGGUGUGAGCGCUGAUGCUCGGCUUUUCUUCAGUAAUGAUGGUGUACAGUCUCUGCUAUCUGAGAUCUGGUGGGGUGAUAUGAAGAGGAACACAGAGAUUUGGAAGCUUCUGCUCACAUUCUUCUGCCCCAUCCUCUGCUACACCAACCUCAUCACCUUUAGGAAUCGAAACGAUCAGUUGGAAGAGGAGGAGAAGAUGCUUAUGGAGGAUGAGCUGGAUCAGGACACUGACAGUCUUUACGGGACCACUGUCUGCUCUUACUCUGACAUCAAGCAGCAUGAAGUUGACUCUAAAGGUCACAGGAGUGGUGCCAUUAAAGGCGUACCCCAACGACCGCCACAAAGUCCAUUCAUAGUGUCACGCUGGCGUCAAUUCUGGUUUGCACCGGUCACCUCAUUUCUGGGCAACGUCCUGAUGUACUUCCUGUUUCUCUUCCUUUUCGCCUACGUGCUGUUGGUGGAUUUCAAGCCCCCACCACCCUCAGGCCCAACUGGUACUGAGUGUGUGUUGUACUUCUGGGUAUUCACCAUCGUUUGUGAAGAGAUCCGACAGACACUUUUUUUGGGGACGACCUGGACUCAAAGUUUCAGACUCUACAUUCAGGAUGUGUGGAAUAAAUGUGAUCUCACUGCCAUCAGCCUGUUCAUUGUCGGACUGAUUUGCAGGAUGUUUCACCGGUCACAUGAAUUUGGCCGAGAUGUCCUUUGUUUGGACUACAUGGUCUUCACCAUUCGCCUCAUUCACAUUUUUGCCAUUCACAAGCAGCUGGGACCAAAACUCAUCAUUGUAGGAAAGAUGAUGAAGGAUGUCUUCUUCUUCCUCUUCUUCCUGGGUGUGUGGGUCUUGGCGUAUGGAGUUGCCAAUCAGGCUCUGAUCUACACCUACGAUCCAAACCCGAAUCGCAUUUUUCUGAGAGUUUUCUACAUGCCAUACUUGCACAUCUUUGGAUACGGCUCUUCCAUCGAGGAAGAGAUGGAUGUGGGCCGGGAACUAAACUGCACAGACAAUGUGACUUUGAUUGAGAGCGGUGAAGAGCCGUGUAGAAAUCAGGAUAGUAACUGGCUAGUAGUGAUUCUGCUAGUCGUAUAUCUCCUGGUCACCAACAUCCUGCUCAUCAACCUAGUCAUUGCCAUGUUUAGCUACACUUUCUCUGAAGUGCAGGAGCACAGUGACACCUACUGGAAGUUCCAGCGUUACAACCUGAUUGUUGAGUAUCACUCCCGUCCUUCUUUGGCUCCUCCUUUCAUUAUCCUCUCACACAUCAAAGUCUUUAUCAAGAGGGUCAUCCGCAAAGUGCCCUCUGUAAAGAUCCACCACUUUGUGUUAGACUUGGAACCAAAGGCAGCUAACAGAUUAUCAACGUGGGAAACGAUUCAGAAGGAAGACUUCCUAACUGCUCGAAACAAGAUCCAGAAAAGCAGCGACUCAGAAAGGCUCAAACGGAUGUCUGCCAAGAUAGAUGAUGUGCUUAAACGUCUGACUGAAAGCAAAGAGUUUGAACACAGACUACAGGCUCAGAUGGAGCAUUACUCAACUGUCCUCAACUGGGUUGUGGAUAUUUUAGCCCAAGGAAGUACAUUCAAACCUCCUCGUCCCCCACCUGCAUUACGAGAUUCACUCCCCUCCUCUUCCAGAUCCACUGGAUUUCAGCCUUAAAUUAAUGCGGUCCCUUAAAUUCACUUCACUUCAGGAGGCAAUGGAAAUCAUUGCAUGGGCUCAGGAACACUUCUGGAAACCAUUAUCUGUGAAACUAGUUCAUUGUGCCAUUCACAAAUGCAAGUUUAAAUUCUAUCAUGCAAGAAAAGAAAACAACAACAACAACAACAAAACAUAUGAGGGCAUUGAAUAUGAUACAAGAACACUGCCAUAUUCUCUGGGCCAGAGCUUAUUUAAAAUAUAUUGAAGCAAAGUGAAAAACUGCUCUAUGGUCAGAUGAAUUGAAGUUUGAAAUGCUUUUUGCAAAACAUUAAUGCUGCAGUGUAGAAGCCUGCAUCUGUGAUGUUAUUGGGGUGCAAAGUACCAGGAACUGACGGCUUGCACAUCUGGAAAAUCAAAAUUAAACCUUUAAUUUUAACCUUAGGGUUUAAAAGCACAUGAUAUAUUCCAAUGUCUUAUUAUUUAUUUAACAAACACUAAGUAAAAAUAAUAAUCUCAGAGAUUUUUAUAGACUACAUCAUUUUUUGUUAUGUCCUGAUACCCUAAACUUAUAAAACUAUGGUGUGCCUUUUUUCACAUUACUGUAAUAUUUAAAAAAAUCGUUCUCCUAUCUAAUUCUCGACACAAAAUCAAAAUGCCAAGUGAAUGAACAUAUUCCAUAGUAUCAGGCCUUUCUGGUUACUUGCCUGGUUACUUAACCUACAAGGAAAAGAACCAAAGGGUAAAAUGUGGGUUUCUUUUGAGUUCCAUUUUCAUGCAGAUGACACAACUAUUUAUUGUUAUUAUCUUUUUCAUUAGUAAAAUUACUUGAAUUUCUUCACUCUGUCUUAGAUGUUGUUCAGUGACAUUAAACGCAACUUCAGCUUGUGUCAAAUCCAGACAAAUCCAAAUCCAGGGUAUUUUCAAAUGGGAAAGAGUUUUGUCCAAGCUGAGACUUUCUCUUAUCAAGUGCUGAUAGACUCUGCAGUGUUUUUUUCCCUUUAUUGGAUUACUGUGAUCUGCUCUUUAUGAAUAUACCAGUCCAGUACCUAAAGUGUCUGGAUACUGUCUGUCAUUGUGCUUUAUGUUUUAUUACUGGCUGUGAAAAUCAUGUACAUCACUUUGUAUAUCAGCAUCUCUGUGUGUGAUUGUUUUUUUAUUUAUAAAUCUCUGGUUGGGCUGGUUGUCUACAUAUAUGUCUAUAUAGACGUCUGUCUGUAUAUGUGUCCACACUGUUUCUCUCCAUUUGUCUGUGCUAAAUAUCAGUUGUGUUAGUUUCUUUGCUAUUAGAUUGUUAUGAGUUGUACUUGUUGAAACUUCUGGUGUCCCCUUGCACAGGUUUCUCUUGAAAAAGUGAAUUUAGUCUCCAUGAGGCUUUUACAUGAAUAAAUAAGGGAUAAUAAUA